RNAcentral lists this ribosomal RNA (242 nucleotides) under uncultured bacterium. RNAcentral's name for it is "partial 16S ribosomal RNA". It matches the Rfam family "Bacterial small subunit ribosomal RNA", at positions 15 to 252 of the family's 1533-position model. The record is from RNAcentral.
GAUCAUGACUCAGGACGAACGCUGGCGGCGCGCCUAACACAUGCAAGUCGAACGAGAGAGAGGAAGCUUGCUUCCUCAAUCGAGUGGCGAACGGGUGAGUAACGCGUGAGGAACCUACCUCAAAGAGGGGGACAACAGUUGGAAACGACUGCUAAUACCGCAUAAGCCCACAGGUCGGCAUCGACCAGAGGGAAAAGGAGCAAUCCGCUUUGAGAUGGCCUCGCGUCCGAUUAGCUAGUUGG